CGAGUUCACUGAACCUUCGGGGAACGUGAACGGCGUCGAGCGGCGGACGGGUGAGUAAUGCCUGGGAAAUUGCCCUGAUGUGGGGGAUAACCAUUGGAAACGAUGGCUAAUACCGCAUAAUAGCUUCGGCUCAAAGAGGGGGACCUUCGGGCCUCUCGCGUCAGGAUAUGCCCAGGUGGGAUUAGCUAGUUGGUGAGGUAAGGGCUCACCAAGGCAACGAUCCCUAGCUGGUCUGAGAGGAUGAUCAGCCACACUGGAACUGAGACACGGUCCAGACUCCUACGGGAGGCAGCAGUGGGGAAUAUUGCACAAUGGGCGCAAGCCUGAUGCAGCCAAGCCGCGUGUAUGAAGAAGGCCUUCGGGUUGUAAAGUACUUUCAGCAGUGAGGAAGGUAUCGUAGUUAAUAGCUGCGGUAUUUGACGUUAGCUGCAGAAGAAGCACCGGCUAACUCCGUGCCAGCAGCCGCGGUAAUACGGAGGUGCGAGCGUUAAUCGGAAUUACUGGGCGUAAAGCGCAUGCAGGUGGUUUGUUAAGUCAGAUGUGAAAGCCCGGGGCUCAACCUC
RNAcentral lists this ribosomal RNA (563 nucleotides) under uncultured Vibrio sp. RNAcentral describes it as "bacterial SSU rRNA". It matches the Rfam family "Bacterial small subunit ribosomal RNA", at positions 67 to 616 of the family's 1533-position model. Lineage: Bacteria; Pseudomonadati; Pseudomonadota; Gammaproteobacteria; Vibrionales; Vibrionaceae. The record is from RNAcentral.